CACAUACAUAUAUACACAUAAAAAGCUUAAGGUUGGCAGAUGUACUGAUAAGACGGAUGACACACCAGCACACAUGGCUAUUGGUUGUCAUGCUGGAUUGUUCGUUGUAGUUUAUCUUGCAUCACUUAUAACACAUACACAUUUACACGCUGUACAACUAUAUACAAUAAUAGCAGAAGAUAGUGCCAUGGACAGUAUGAGUAAGACAGUCAGUGAUACAGAUUCACCUCAAAUGCAAAGUAUCCUGAAGCCUAUGCAGAUCAUUACACAGGGUUGCAUUAACGUUCUGUGCACUGAAUCUUGCUUGUGUUCUUCUGUUUUUGGAAAUUGAAAUUCCCAAAGCAGCUUCUUAUAUCCAAUAUUUAAGUAUAUAUAUAUAUAUAUAUAUAAAAGCCAUGGAUUGUAUCAUUCUGAGUAACACGUAUCUGACUCAUGCAUGGCAUUUUCUGCAACAUAAUGCUUAUAAAAAUUCACUCAGCAUUUAAAACAUAUCCUUAAAAGCUACAUUCAAGAGCAACAGAUAAAAUGUUUUUUUUUCUUUUGUGUAUGCUUACACUGAUAAUUCAGUAUACAAUUACAUAUCUCUCUGCAAUCAGUAUUUCUCCAUAAAUAAUUUAAUAAAUAUAUAAUCCUAUGUUUUGAGAGUUUUCUACAAUGAUACUAUUAUAUCUGUGUCAUUAGUAACAACUUAAUGUUUAGACGCUGUUUAAUAUAAUAAUAGCAGGCUCCUAUAUUCACACUAUAAAUUGUUGGGUUUUUUUCUUUGCAAGAAAAUAAAAUGACCAAAUACCAUCUUUGCAAAAUGCUUACAUUUUAG
This is a non-coding RNA of Pelobates cultripes (western spadefoot toad), 817 nucleotides long. NCBI's taxonomy places the organism in Eukaryota, Metazoa, Chordata, Amphibia, Anura, Pelobatidae. The record is from the annotation of a GenBank genome assembly.